AAACUGCGAAUGGCUCAUUAAAUCAGUUAUCGUUUAUUUGAUAGUACCUUACUACUUGGAUAACCGUGGUAAUUCUAGAGCUAAUACAUGCUAAAAACCCCGACUCCGGGAGGGGUGUAUUUAUUAGAUAAAAAGCCAAUGCCCUUUGGGGCUCUUUGGUGAUUCAUAGUAACUUAACGGAUCGCAUGGCCUUGCGCUGGCGACGGUUCAUUCAAAUUUCUGCCCUAUCAACUUUCGAUGGUAAGGUAUUGGCUUACCAUGGUUUCAACGGGUAACGGGGAAUUAGGGUUCGAUUCCGGAGAGGGAGCCUGAGAAACGGCUACCACAUCCAAGGAAGGCAGCAGGCGCGCAAAUUACCCAAUCCCGACACGGGGAGGUAGUGACAAUAAAUACUGAUACAGGGCUCUUUUGGGUCUUGUAAUCGGAAUGAGUACAAUUUAAACCCCUUAACGAGGAACAAUUGGAGGGCAAGUCUGGUGCCAGCAGCCGCGGUAAUUCCAGCUCCAAUAGCGUAUAUUAAAGUUGUUGCAGUUAAAAAGCUCGUAGUUGAACCUUGGGCCUGGCUGGCUGGUCCGCCUCACCGCGUGUACUGGUCCGGCCGGGCCUUUCCUUCUGGAGAGCCCCAUGCCCUUCACUGGGUGUGUGGGGGAACCAGGACUUUUACUGUGAAAAAAUUAGAGUGUUCAAAGCAGGCCUUUGCUCGAAUACGUUAGCAUGGAAUAAUAGAAUAGGACGUGCGGUCCUAUUUUGUUGGUUUCUAGGACCGCCGUAAUGAUUAAUAGGGAUAGUCGGGGGCAUCAGUAUUCAAUUGUCAGAGGUGAAAUUCUUGGAUUUAUUGAAGACUAACUACUGCGAAAGCAUUUGCCAAGGAUGUUUUCAUUAAUCAGUGAACGAAAGUUAGGGGAUCGAAGACGAUCAGAUACCGUCGUAGUCUUAACCGUAAACUAUGCCGACUAGGGAUCGGGCGAUGUUUCUAUUUUGACUCGCUCGGCACCUUACGAGAAAUCAAAG
Molecule: ribosomal RNA, 1011 nt
Filed under: Aquimassariosphaeria typhicola
Lineage: Eukaryota; Fungi; Ascomycota; Dothideomycetes; Pleosporales; Lindgomycetaceae
Description: SSU rRNA
Rfam family: Eukaryotic small subunit ribosomal RNA
Source: RNAcentral